RNAcentral lists this ribosomal RNA (497 nucleotides) under uncultured bacterium. RNAcentral describes it as "partial 16S ribosomal RNA". It matches the Rfam family "Bacterial small subunit ribosomal RNA", at positions 28 to 507 of the family's 1533-position model. The record is from RNAcentral.
GAUGAACGCUGGCGGCGUGCCUAAUACAUGCAAGUCGAGCGAACGGACGAGAAGCUUGCUUCUCUGAUGUUAGCGGCGGACGGGUGAGUAACACGUGGAUAACCUACCUAUAAGACUGGGAUAACUUCGGGAAACCGUAUCUAAUACCGGAUAAUAUUUUGAACCGCAUGGUUCAAAAGUGAAAGACGGUCUUGCUGUCACUUAUAGAUGGAUCCUCGCUGCAUUAGCUAGUUGGUAAGGUAACGGCUUACCAAGGCAACGAUGCAUAGCCGACCUGAGAGGGUGAUCGGCCACACUGGAACUGAGACACGGUCCAGACUCCUACGGGAGGCAGCAGUAGGGAAUCUUCCGCAAUGGGCGAAAGCCUGACGGAGCAACGCCGCGUGAGUGAUGAAGGUCUUCGGAUCGUAAAACUCUGUUAUUAGGGAAGAACAUAUGUGUAAGUAACUGUGCACAUCUUGACGGUACCUAAUCAGAAAGCCACGGCUAACUACGUG